Molecule: long non-coding RNA, 299 nt
Organism: Alligator sinensis (Chinese alligator)
Lineage: Eukaryota; Metazoa; Chordata; Crocodylia; Alligatoridae
Exons: 3
Source: RefSeq, a predicted model, not a curated record
CUGGGGACAGUGCAGGUGGAAGGGCAGGAGGAGAUGCACCCCUGGCUGCUCCCCCUGACCUGGAGGAAGGAGAAAGAGGGACCCCUCCACACCUUGCCCCCAUACCUGCAAGAGGGGGAGUGAAGAGCCCCAGACCCACAGGAACACAGGUUGGCAGAGCUUUAAACUAGCUUUGUUGGAGGACAAGGAUGUCGAAGAUAGGGUGAAACCAGGAAGGACAAGCCACGACCUGACUGCUGGAAUAGACCAGGAAGCAACGGUGAGCACCUGAAACCUGAGAUCCUGCGCCUGCCUUUGUU